RNAcentral lists this long non-coding RNA (1239 nucleotides) under Gopherus agassizii (Agassiz's desert tortoise). Its description in RNAcentral is "lncRNA (ENSGAGG00000012013.1)". Lineage: Eukaryota; Metazoa; Chordata; Testudines; Testudinidae. The record is from RNAcentral.
CCCGGUUUCCCCCAUCAGAUUGCCAGCCGAGCAGCUUCCUGGAGCGGAGUUACUCCCGGAGUGGAAUUGGCCCUCCACUGGAAUCAAACCAGGGUCCUCGCAGCCAUGUGAACCUCUCCUUGGCCAGCCUGGAGCAGACAUGCCAAGUCUGUUACUCCCUGCCUGGAUCCUCCCCUCUUCCCAGCCAGACAGGCAGGCAGGCAAGCUCCCUUGUCCUGUGAUCACAGUCGACCCUGCCUGCAGCCCCAAAGGAAGCGCUGGCUCCAUUGUCCAUAAUCCGGGGGAAGGCGUUUCUGUUCUGCUGACGUUCAGAAGCAGUGAUGGGUCCACAGGCCGCCUGGUGUCUUCUUCGGUAAUGAGAAGGGGCUGGAUAGUGAUUAGUAAGUAAUCACUGGUAAUUACAUAGAUCCCACGUCUUCCGUCCCAGAGCGCGCUUACAAAUUAAGAGCCCAAUCCUGUAUCCGGUGGAGUCAAUGACAAAACUUCUAUUGACUUUAAUGGGAACAGGACUCUGUGGGCCUGAUCCUGAAAGGGGCUGAGCCCUUGCAACUCCCAUUGAAACCAGUGGGAGUUUGCAGGAUUGAGCCCUAUCGACAGACAGUGCCCCUAAAAUGCCAUCAACCAUGGCCUGCCUGUGACAAAGCCCUGCAGUUGUUUGAUAGCACAGAUGCUUACGGGAGGCACAUUCUGAGCUCACAUGCUGGGAUCCUCAUCCUGGCAAGUUUAUGCCCCAGAGACCUGAUUCUACGAGUUCUGAUCGACCAGUCAGGGAACGGAGACAACGCUGUGUGGCUUAUGCAGCCAGUCACCACGAAGCCGGGGGCAGUGUUGUAAUCCACGUGUCCAUGAAUUCAGAGUCCACCUCUUAUGGUACUGCUUGGGAGUGGACAUGUGCAAGUAUUUGAAGAAGAAAAAAUGAUUACUAAAUGUAGCUAUUGGAUUCUGGGAAGUGCUAAAGGAUCCCCCCCUCCAGCCUAAGGAGGGGGGAUCUACAGGGAUCUACAGGGGGCAAGUGAAAUUCACCCAUGGCUGCAUCUGCAAACAAGCGAAUUCCACAGAAUCGCCACCUGUGAGCGAAGAGAGAGGAGAAUCUCCUCGUACAAUCUCCCCAGCGCUAUGGAGUCGCAGAGAGAACAUUUCAGCUCCUUUGAAAGGCUCGGCCUGGGUUUGGGGCCAGAAUCCGAUUCCUUCCUUGCUCUGGAUUUUUCUCUGCCUUUCUCCUCCACGGGGGAGCCACCU